Long non-coding RNA from Gossypium arboreum, 472 nucleotides. RefSeq lists it as uncharacterized. The record is from RefSeq and is a predicted model, not a curated record. Lineage: Eukaryota; Viridiplantae; Streptophyta; Magnoliopsida; Malvales; Malvaceae. The transcript is spliced from 2 exons.
AUUCUUCUCCUCAGUUUCAAAAAAAGGAAAAAAAACCCUAUUUUCUCUGAAGGGUUCCAGAAUUCGGCCAGGGGACCGGUAAGCCUCCGCCGCACGUGCCACCGCUGGCGCCGAAGGUGGUGUGGUGGACGUGAGCUCUAACGUGGAGGUGCGAGUGGUGCAGCGUUAGAGGUCCGAGUGGCGUGGGACACGGAGGUUGUUGGAGCGGCGGCUGUUGCAAGUACCAGGGGCUAGGGUUUCCUAGGUUGGCUGAAAGUGUUAAGGUUUUGGGCCUUUUUGGGCUAGGUUUUAUUUGGGUCAUUUGGGGUUUGGGUUUAGUUGUGUUUGGGCUUCUAUUUUUUGUAUCUUGGGCUGUUAAAAGAUAUAUAUACUUUUAUUUAUGUCUAUUUAUUUGUGGGUCAUGGGCCGGACAAUUUCGGCCCAUUACAAUAAGUAUAAAUAUAUUGAUAAAUCCAACGAUUGGAUUGUUAAA